GCCGCGGUGGUGACAGUCGCCAUUUUAUUUUGAAAAUCAAACUGAACUGGAGGCAGAGCGACCCUUCCAUUUCGUCAAGUUUGUUGUGCGAAACAAGAAGGGAUGAACAUCUGAAUUACUUUCUUGGGAGCAUGAAGCUGAACUUGAUUUUAAACUGAAGGACUUUACCUAGCACCGGGAUCCACUGAUCGGAAAACCCAUUUGGACGUUUAUAUAUUUUUUUACACUUUUGGGGGGGGGAGCAGAAUUAACCUAUCACUGAAGUGAUUAAAGGGGAAUAAUGGUGAUUUUGCGCCGUGCUCGGCCGCCUGCUUCCGCCCCGAACAGCAAUGAAUCUUGACUCGCUUUCGCUGGCUUUGUCUCAAAUCAGCUAUCUGGUGGACAAUUUAACUAAGAAAAACUAUCGAGCCAGCCAGCAAGAAAUACAGCAUAUUGUGAAUCGUCACGGUCCUGAGGCAGACAGGCAUCUACUUCGCUGUCUCUUCUCUCAUGUGGAUUUCAGUGGCGAUGGUAAAAGCAGUGGCAAGGACUUUCACCAGGUAAUUUUUGAUUAGAAACACAUUGUUUUUUGUUAGUUUUUUUACAAAGAUCUUUCCUAGUAGUACUGAGUCAUAAUUUCUCUGAAAAGCAACAGAAGAUGUUUUUCCGACAUUCGUGAAUGGUUUCCUUAGAAAUAUAUUUUUAGUUUCCUAAAAAUGUACAACGGUUGAACAAAAUUUGGCCUGCUGUUUUUCAAGUGAAAUUAGUUUAGCACCCUUCGUGUCUCCCAUUUCCCAGGAUUUUCACGCAGUUUAGCUGCAGAACUUUCUAGAAUUGAAUGUUACCCUUUUUUAAAGUAAAUUGGUAUUAGACACUUUACCAGUACA
Molecule: long non-coding RNA, 866 nt
Organism: Notothenia coriiceps (black rockcod)
Lineage: Eukaryota; Metazoa; Chordata; Actinopteri; Perciformes; Nototheniidae
Exons: 3
Source: RefSeq, a predicted model, not a curated record